This 107-nucleotide small nucleolar RNA is filed under the name Corchorus olitorius. RNAcentral describes it as "Plant small nucleolar RNA R71". It matches the Rfam family "Plant small nucleolar RNA R71". From Rfam's summary of the family: R71 is a member of the C/D box family of snoRNAs containing the C (UGAUGA) and D (CUGA) box motifs. Multiple nearly identical copies of this snoRNA have been identified in Arabidopsis, and it is thought to function as a 2'-O-ribose methylation guide for 18S ribosomal RNA. The record is from Rfam by way of RNAcentral. Lineage: Eukaryota; Viridiplantae; Streptophyta; Magnoliopsida; Malvales; Malvaceae.
AUUCCAUGGUGCAGGCAUGAAGCAACAAAUCUAUUCAGCCUUUCCCUAGAUUCAUAUAAGCUCUCGUCAGGAUUCUGCCUGAUUCGACUUAUCUCCUUUCUGAUGUU